Long non-coding RNA from Homo sapiens (human), 788 nucleotides. Ensembl annotates it as S-phase cancer associated transcript 1. Its record names the gene SCAT1. The record is from Ensembl. Lineage: Eukaryota; Metazoa; Chordata; Mammalia; Primates; Hominidae.
CUCACUCAAUAUGGCCUCAGCUUAAUGAAAGACAUCUGCAGAGACCCUAUUUCUACUAAAAGCCACAUUCUGAGACUUCUCGUGGGCGUGAGUUUUUGAGAGACACUGUUCUGCUCCAUGCAGGGAGGGAAUUGGGAUCUGAAGACGUUGCAUUCGAGGUCUCGGGGCUCCUGAUGAGCAGCCUCGGCCUGACCUGGGGCAGGUGUGAUGUCUGCGGCUCACCAUCUCCACCCUGCCUGCUGUGGAAUCUCCACAACGACAGGUGCUUUGGAGGCCAGAGUGCAUGCGUACGGGCCCUGCACACGCUGAAUGUCACUGGGAACAAGGACACACCCCGCUUCCAGGAGAAGAUAGAACAUGUCGACCCCUUUUAGCCAUCCCCAGUGCAGGACAUGCUAUUGACUUCCAUGAGACAAACACCUACUUGGAAAUCAGGUUUUUUCUGUACCUUUUGAAGGAGCAGGAAUUUCCCAGCAUUUCCUGGACAAAGACGGAGAGGAUGGCCAGAAGCAGACCCAGGAGGAGCUUCGGAACUGCACGGGGCAGGUGCAGCCUGGGGGUGGCACGGACCACAGAACACAAGAGGCAUCCAGGAGUCAGAUGCAGCAGAUAGAGGCCGCGUGCCUCACCGCCUGUGAAAUGCAGGGAGAGGAGGAUGUUUAUGUCACUGAGCCCAUCGGGCACAGCAUGGAAAAGAGAAUUCUGGUCCUUUUCCCCUGGGAUUGAGGUCUCCUGGGCUCAGUCUGCAGUGGGAAACCCGGCCACAUUCGCUGCAUCCUUUCCAGCAA